CUUGCCCUACCGUGUGCGUGGUCAAUCUGACUAUGUUAUGAGCCAACACCAUAACAUAGGGAGCCUGGACUCUGGUUGUGGCGUGUAAGCCUCUGCGGGAGGACACACAAAGCAAUCAGGAGGGC
Molecule: small RNA, 125 nt
Filed under: Bacillota bacterium
Lineage: Bacteria; Bacillati; Bacillota
Description: Firmicutes bacterium (anaerobic digester metagenome) partial 6S RNA
Rfam family: 6S / SsrS RNA
About the family: E. coli 6S RNA was the first non coding RNA to be sequenced, but its function was unknown until recently.
Source: RNAcentral